UACAGAGGGGGCAAGCGUUGUUCGGAAUUACUGGGCGUAAAGGGCGCGUAGGCGGCCUGUUAAGUCGAACGUGAAAUCCCCGGGCUCAACCCGGGAACUGCGUCCGAUACUGGCAGGCUUGAAUUCGGGAGAGGGAUGCGGAAUUCCAGGUGUAGCGGUGAAAUGCGUAGAUAUCGUGAGGAAGACCAGUUGCGAAGGCGGAUCUCUGGGCAGUUCCUGACACUGAGGCACGAAGGCCAGGGGAGCAAACGGG
RNAcentral lists this ribosomal RNA (253 nucleotides) under uncultured bacterium. RNAcentral's name for it is "partial 16S ribosomal RNA". It matches the Rfam family "Bacterial small subunit ribosomal RNA", at positions 524 to 776 of the family's 1533-position model. The record is from RNAcentral.